GGGCCCGCACAAGCGGUGGAGCAUGUGGUUUAAUUCGAAGCAACGCGAAGAACCUUACCAGGUCUUGACAUCCCGCUGACCGCCUUGGAGACAAGGCUUUCCCUUCGGGGACAGCGGUGACAGGUGGUGCAUGGUUGUCGUCAGCUCGUGUCGUGAGAUGUUGGGUUAAGUCCCGCAACGAGCGCAACCCUUGAUCUUAGUUGCCAGCAUUCAGUUGGGCACUCUAAGGUGACUGCCGGUGACAAACCGGAGGAAGGUGGGGAUGACGUCAAAUCAUCAUGCCCCUUAUGACCUGGGCUACACACGUGCUACAAUGGACGGUACAAAGGGCUGCAAACCCGCGAGGGGGAGCCAAUCCCAGAAAACCGUUCUCAGUUCGGAUUGCAGGCUGCAACUCGCCUGCAUGAAGCCGGAAUCGCUAGUAAUCGCGGAUC
Molecule: ribosomal RNA, 434 nt
Filed under: uncultured bacterium
Lineage: Bacteria
Description: bacterial SSU rRNA
Rfam family: Bacterial small subunit ribosomal RNA
Source: RNAcentral